Molecule: ribosomal RNA, 2187 nt
Filed under: human gut metagenome
Description: bacterial LSU rRNA
Rfam family: Bacterial large subunit ribosomal RNA
Source: RNAcentral
AGGGCGCAAGGGGGAUGCCUUGGCAUUGGUAGCCGAUGAAGGACGUAGCGAUCUACGAUAAGCCACGGGAAGUCGAAAGCAGGCAAUGAUCCGUGGAUUUCCGAAUGGGGAAACCCGGCAGAGCAAUACUCUGUCAACUCCUUGUGAAUAAAAUAGCAUUGAGUAGGGAACCUCCUGAACUGAAACAUCUAAGUAGGGAGAGGAAAAGAAAUCAACCGAGAUUCCGCUAGUAGUGGCGAGCGAACGCGGAAGAGGCCAAACCAAGAGUAGUAAUACUUUUGGGGUUCGGACUGAGUACGGUAUUGACAAGAGUUAGUAGAAUGGAAUGGGAAGUUCAACCAUAGAGUGUGAGAGUCACGUAUACGAAAACUUAAGUCAGCCAUCAGUAUCCAGAGUACCGCCGGACACGUGAAACCCGGUGGGAAUACGGGGGGACCACCCUCCAAGCCUAAAUACUCACCAAUGACCGAUAGUGUAUAGUACUGUGAAGGAAAGGUGAAAAGAACCCCUGGCGGGGAGUGAAAAAGAACCUGAAACCUUGUGCCUACAAGCACAUAGAGCACGUCAACGUGUGAUAUGGUACCUUUUGUAGAAUGGUCCGGCGAGUGAAUGUCACUAGCGAGGUUAAGAACUUAAGGUUUGCAGCCGAAGCGAAAGCGAGUCUUAAUAGGGCGAGUUUAGUUAGUGGUAUUCGACCCGAAACCGAGUGACCUAGCCAUGAGCAGGCUGAAGUGGAGGUAAAACUCCAUGGAGGGCCGAACCCACUCCCGUUGAAAUGGUAGGGGAUGACUUGUGGCUAGCGGAGAAAUUCCAAUCGAACUCGGAGAUAGCUGGUUCUCUCCGAAAUAGCUUUAGGGCUAGCCUCAAUUAACAUUACCGCAGGUAAAGCACUGAAUGGGCUAGGGGGCGAAAGCUUACUGAACCCUAUCAAACUCAGAAUGGCGGAUAAUGAAUAAUUGGGAGUCACACUACGUGAGAUAAGUUUCGUGGUGGAAAGGGAAACAGCCCAGACCCACAGCUAAGGUCCCAAAGUACAGUUAAGUGGAAAAGGAUGUGAAGUUGCGCAGACAACCAGGAUGUUGGCUCAGAAGCAGCCACUCAUUCAAAGAGUGCGUAAUAGCUCACUGGUCGAGUGAUUUUGCGCCGAAAAUUUAACGGGGCUAAACUGUACACCGAAGCUUGGGAAUAUACCAUAUGGUAUGUUGGUAGGAGAGCGUCGUAUGCGGGGUGAAGUCGUAGCGAAAGCGGCGGUGGACUGCAUAGGAGUGAGAAUGCCGGAAUGAGUAGCGAGAAUUAUGUGAGAAUCAUAAUGGCCGAAAGACUAAGGUUUUAGAAGGAAGGUUCGUCCGCUUCUAGUUAGCCGGGAGCUAAGGCGAGGCCGAAAGGCGUAGUCGAUGCACAUACGGUUGAGAUUCCGUAGCCACCUUAAAUUUAAACUAAGGGACACAUUGAAAGGGAAUAACCCAGGCGUUGGUUGACCUGGGCGUAAGGGAACGAAAAUAAGUAGUGAAGUUAUUCUUGGCACAGUGGCGAGAAAAGCUUAGUGUAUAUUAUUAGGGUGCCCGUACUGCAAACCGACACAGGUAGUCAGGAAGAGAAUUCUAAGGCCAUCGGGAGAAGCGUUGUUAAGGAACUCGGCAAAUUGACCCCGUAACUUCGGAAUAAGGGGUGCUCACGAGAGUGAGCCGCAGUGAAUAGGUCCAGGCAACUGUUUAUCAAAAACACAGCUCUCUGCUAAAUCGUAAGAUGACGUAUAGGGGGUGACACCUGCCCGGUGCUGGAAGGUUAAGAGGAGGAGUGCAAGCCCCGAAUCGAAGCCCCAGUAAACGGCGGCCGUAACUAUAACGGUCCUAAGGUAGCGAAAUUCCUUGUCGGGUAAGUUCCGACCCGCACGAAUGGUGUAAUGAUCUGGACACUGUCUCAACAACGCACCCGGCGAAAUUGUAGUACCGGUGAAGAUGCCGGUUACCCGCGGCAAGACGGAAAGACCCCAUGGAGCUUUACUGUAACUUAAUAUUGGGUCUCGGUACUUUAUGUACAGGAUAGGCGGGAGACUUGGAAACUAGCACGCCAGUGUUAGCGGAGUCAUCCUUGGGAUACCGCUCUUAAGGUAUUGAGAUUCUAACCUGCAGCCUUGAAUCAGGUUGGGGGACAUUGUUAGGUGGGCAGUUUGACUGGGGCGGUCGC